AAUAAAUGACGCUGUUGACUUUUUCUCACAUGUUUGACUAUUCGUCUUAUUCAAAAAAUUUACGUAAUUAUAAUUUAUUUUGAUAUGAGUUGUUUUAUUACUCAUAGUACUUUAAGUGUGAUUUAUAUCUUAUAUAUUUGUAAAAAAAAUUAAAUAAGACGAAUAGUCAAACAUGUGAGAAAAAGUCAACGGCAUCAUCUAUU
Molecule: microRNA precursor, 203 nt
Filed under: Oryza glumipatula
Lineage: Eukaryota; Viridiplantae; Streptophyta; Magnoliopsida; Poales; Poaceae
Description: MIR812 microRNA precursor family
Rfam family: MIR812 microRNA precursor family
Source: Rfam by way of RNAcentral